AUGGACGAAAGUCUGAUGGAGCAACGCCGCGUGAGUGAAGAAGGGUUUCGGCUCGUAAAACUCUGUUGUUAAAGAAGAACAUAUCUGAGAGUAACUGUUCAGGUAUUGACGGUAUUUAACCAGAAAGCCACGGCUAACUACGUGCCAGCAGCCGCGGUAAUACGUAGGUGGCAAGCGUUGUCCGGAUUUAUUGGGCGUAAAGCGAGCGCAGGCGGUUUUUUAAGUCUGAUGUGAAAGCCUUCGGCUUAACCGAAGAAGUGCAUCGGAAACUGGGAAACUUGAGUGCAGAAGAGGACAGUGGAACUCCAUGUGUAGCGGUGAAAUGCGUAGAUAUAUGGAAGAACACCAGUGGCGAAGGCGGCUGUCUGGUCUGUAACUGACGCUGAGGCUCGAAAGUAUGGGUAGCAAACAGGAUUAGAUACCCUGGUAGUCCAUACCGUAAACGAUGAAUGCUAAGUGUUGGAGGGUUUCCGCCCUUCAGUGCUGCAGCUAACGCAUUAAGCAUUCCGCCUGGGGAGUACGGCCGCAAGGCUGAAACUCAAAGGAAUUGACGGGGGCCCGCACAAGCGGUGGAGCAUGUGGUUUAAUUCGAAGCUACGCGAAGAACCUUACCAGGUCUUGACAUACUAUGCAAAUCUAAGAGAUUAGACGUUCCCUUCGGGGACAUGGAUACAGGUGGUGCAUGGUUGUCGUCAGCUCGUGUCGUGAGAUGUUGGGGUUAAGUCCGCAAGAGCGCAACC
RNAcentral lists this ribosomal RNA (740 nucleotides) under Lactiplantibacillus plantarum. RNAcentral describes it as "bacterial SSU rRNA". It matches the Rfam family "Bacterial small subunit ribosomal RNA", at positions 371 to 1103 of the family's 1533-position model. The record is from RNAcentral. Lineage: Bacteria; Bacillati; Bacillota; Bacilli; Lactobacillales; Lactobacillaceae.